CCUACGGGUGGCAGCAGUCGAGAAUCAUUCACAAUGGGGGAAACCCUGAUGGCGCGACGCCGCGUGGGGGAAUGAAGGUCUCCGGAUUGUAACCCCCUGUCAUGUGGGAGCAAAUUAAAAAGAUAGUACCCCAAGAGGAAGAGACGGCUAACUCUGUGCCAGCAGCCGCGGUAAUACAGAGGUCUCAAGCGUUGUUCGGAAUCACUGGGCGUAAAGCGUGCGUAGGCUGUUUCGUAAGUCGUGUGUGAAAGGCGCGGGCUCAACCCGUGGAUGGAACGUGAUACGGCGAGACUAGAGUAAUGGAGGGGGAAGCGGAAUUCGCGGUGUAGCAGUGAAAUGCGUAGAUAGCGAGAGGAACA
This 359-nucleotide ribosomal RNA is filed under the name uncultured bacterium. RNAcentral describes it as "partial 16S ribosomal RNA". It matches the Rfam family "Bacterial small subunit ribosomal RNA", at positions 338 to 708 of the family's 1533-position model. The record is from RNAcentral.